This is a long non-coding RNA of Physeter macrocephalus (sperm whale), 807 nucleotides long. RefSeq lists it as uncharacterized. The transcript is spliced from 4 exons. Lineage: Eukaryota; Metazoa; Chordata; Mammalia; Artiodactyla; Physeteridae. The record is from RefSeq and is a predicted model, not a curated record.
UAGUGGUGGGAGGGUUAGGUGCCAGGCUCCACCCUACGUGAUCUUCCCGUUUCUCAAGGCCACUGGCGUGGGGGGUCACUGCCCCCAAGGAGGGAACCUAGAGCGGGUGGAGGAGAGGCCGGAGGAGCGAAUGCGAGAAGCUGGGAAAAUGCCCUCCCCGCUUUGGUUCUAGAAUCCCUACUCUCCUGGCAACGGGACCGCAGACGCCAAGGGGGAUGGCAUCCACUGCUACCAGGAGUGUGGAGAAAAAGGGCAGCGGGCAAUCCCAAGCUACAACCUCUGCAGCCUCCUUGGGUGGAGGCCCGAAGGUUUCCCGUUCUGAGGAAUUCCUGACACAGAUCAGCACAGAACUCACUGACGAGGCCUUGUUUGUCGCUGCCUACCAAAUGAAUCCUGUGCCCAUCAAGGAAAAACAGACACAAGACCAAGGGACUCAGAUAUCCAAACACGGGAGCUCUGCCUAGCAGCUUGACAUCUGGAGGAUGAUCUCAACUCUGGUGCUGCUCUUGGCCUCUCGUGCCCUCCCCUCGCUCUGUUCCUCUAGAACAUGCAUCAAAGCUCCUCUUUCACAAUUCAUUCAACAGUUCGGUUUUGGGGCGAUUCUUGGUCUUGAGCAACAUCACCCCUGAAGCCUCCAAAGGGUUCUGGAACCAUCACACACCUCUCCACCCUCAGCUAGCAAGGACACCACCAGAAAUCAAAAACUUUAAUAAAGUGACAGAGAUUCUUCCCUCCUCCCAGGCUGGGCAGUUCUCUCUGUGGGGCGAUGUGGGAGGAGUGCCCCUCCCCCUUUUUGCCAGAUAUGUG